GCCUCAGUAACGGCGAGUGAAGCGGCAAAAGCUCAAAUUUGAAAUCUGACUUCGGUCCGAAUUGUAAUUUGUAGAGGAUGCUUCGGCUUACGUCUCGGUCUAAGUUCCUUGGAACAGGACGUCACAGAGGGUGAGAAUCCCGUACGUGGCCGCGACUUCCGCCAUGUGAAGCUCCUUCGACGAGUCGAGUUGUUUGGGAAUGCAGCUCUAAAUGGGAGGUAAAUUUCUUCUAAAGCUAAAUACUGGCCAGAGACCGAUAGCGCACAAGUAGAGUGAUCGAAAGAUGAAAAGCACUUUGGAAAGAGAGUUAAAAAGUACGUGAAAUUGUUGAAAGGGAAGCGCUUGCAACCAGACUUGCCCGCGGAUGCUCAACCGGUCCUUCGGCCGGUGCACUCUUCCGCGGUCAGGCCAGCAUCAGUUCGGGCGGUUGGAUAAAGGCCUUGGGAAUGUGGCUCUUCGGAGUGUUAUAGCCCUCGGUGCAAUACAACCAGCCUGGACUGAGGUCCGCGCUUCGGCUAGGAUGCUGGCGUAAUGGUUGUAAGCGGCCCGUCUU
Molecule: ribosomal RNA, 553 nt
Filed under: Neoacanthostigma filiforme
Lineage: Eukaryota; Fungi; Ascomycota; Dothideomycetes; Tubeufiales; Tubeufiaceae
Description: eukaryotic LSU rRNA
Rfam family: Eukaryotic large subunit ribosomal RNA
Source: RNAcentral